UCCGGGGUAGCUCAAUGGUAGAGCAGCUCCCUGUUAAGGAGUUGGUUGCCGGUUCGAGUCCGGCCCCCGGAG
This 72-nucleotide transfer RNA is filed under the name Candidatus Yanofskybacteria bacterium CG10_big_fil_rev_8_21_14_0_10_46_23. RNAcentral describes it as "tRNA-Asn". It matches the Rfam family "tRNA". From Rfam's summary of the family: Transfer RNA (tRNA) molecules are approximately 80 nucleotides in length. Their secondary structure includes four short double-helical elements and three loops (D, anti-codon, and T loops). The record is from RNAcentral. Lineage: Bacteria; Candidatus Yanofskyibacteriota.